This 2256-nucleotide ribosomal RNA is filed under the name human gut metagenome. RNAcentral describes it as "bacterial LSU rRNA". It matches the Rfam family "Bacterial large subunit ribosomal RNA", at positions 49 to 2300 of the family's 2925-position model. The record is from RNAcentral.
ACGAAGGACGUGACAAGCUGCGAAAAGCUGCGGAGAGAUGCAAAUAAUCGUUGACCCGCAGAUAUCCGAAUGGAGCAAUCCGGCUGUGAUGAUGCACAGCCAUCCAUGCCCAAGAGCAUGAGAAGGGAACCGGGCGAACUGAAACAUCUAAGUAGCCCGAGGAAAAGAAAUCAAACGAGAUACCCCAAGUAGCGGCGAGCGAACAGGGAAGAAGCCCAAACCGGUGAAGGAAACUUUACCGGGGUUGAGGACCAUCAGACCCGCGAAGAACUUUAGCCGAAACUGUUGGGAAACAGUGCCGAAGACAGUGAAAGCCUGGUAGGCGAAAAAGAGAAACGCGGGGAUGGCACCAGAGUACCGCGGGACACGAGAAAUCCCGUGGGAAGCAGGGGGGACCACCCUCCAAGGCAAAACACAGAUAUCGACCGAUAGCGCAUAGUACCAUGAGGGAAAGGUGAAAAGCACCCCGGGAGGGGAAUGAAAGAGAACCUGAAACCGUAUGUUUACAAGCAGUCGGAGACCGCUUAAUAAUAAGGUCGACGGCGUGCCUAUUGAAGAAUGAACCGGCGAGUUACGAAGCCUGGCAAGGUUAAGCAGGAAAUGCGGAGCCGAAGCGAAAGCGAGUCUUAAGAGGGCGCAAGUCAGGAAGCGUAGACCCGAAACCACAGUGAUCUACCCAUGUCCAGGUUGAAACACAGGUAAAAAUGUGUGGAGGACCGAACCUAUAUCCGUUGAAAAGGGUUAGGAUGAGGUGUGGGUAGGGGUGAAAUUCCAAUCGAACGUGGAGAUAGCUGGUUCUCCCCGAAAUAGCUUUAGGGCUAGCCUCAGGGAAAAGAUUGCAGGCGGUAGAGCACUGAUCAGGAGAGGGACCUACCCGGUUACCAAACCCAGUCAAACUCCGAAUGGCUGCAAUCAUACCUGGGAGUCAGACUGCGACUAAUAAGGGCCGUAGUCAAAAGGGAAACAGCCCAGACCAUCAGCUAAGGUCCCCAAUGCCGUGCUAAGUGGCGAAGGAUGUGGCAUUUCAUAAACAACCAGGAUGUUGGCUCAGAAGCAGCCACCAUUUAAAGAGUGCGUAAUAGCUCACUGGUCGAGAGACGCUGCGCCGAAAAUGUCCGGGGCUCAAGCACGGAACCGAAGCUAUGGCAUGAUAGCAAUAUCAUGGGUAGGGGAGCGUUCUUAUAAGGAAGAAGCAUGACCGGAAGGACAUGUGGACGAAUAAGAAGUGAGAAUGCCGGUAUGAGUAUCGAAAAGAAAGGUGAGAAUCCUUUCCACCGAAAGCCCGAGGGUUCCUGAGCAACGAUCGUCGACUCAGGGUAAGUCGGGACCUAAGCCGAGGCGAGAAGCGUAGGCGAUGGACAACAGGUUGAAAUUCCUGUACCGGAUCAAGUCGAUCGAGCGAAGGAGCGACGCAGGAGGGCACAUGAUCGCGCGGCUGGAAGAGCGCGUCCAAGUGCGUAUGUUGCAGCAGAGGAAAACCCCUGUAGCUAAAAGCAGAGACAUGAUGGGGAGUUAAAGGAAACUUUGACGAACUCAUGAAUCCCACACUGCCAAGAAAAACUUCUAGCGAGACAAGAUCCGCCCGUACCGUAAACCGACACAGGUAGGCGGGGAGAGAAUCCUAAGGUGCGCGGGAAAACCCUCGUUAAGGAACUCGGCAAAUUGCAUCCGUAACCUAGGGAGAAGGAUGGCCCCCGGUCAGUGAAGAGCAGAAACGCUCAGAGCUAAAAGGGGCGGCAGAAAAGAGGCCCAAGCAACUGUUUACCAAAAACACAGGUGCCUGCGAAAGCGAAAGCUGAAGUAUAGGUGCUGACGCCUGCCCGGUGCCGGAAGGUUAAGGAGAGAAGUUAGCGAAAGCGAAGCAUCGAACUGAAGCCCCGGUGAACGGCGGCCGUAACUAUAACGGUCCUAAGGUAGCGAAAUUCCUUGUCGGGUAAGUUCCGACCCGCAUGAAAGGCGUAAUGAUUUGGGCACUGUCUCAACGAGGGGCCCGGUGAAAUUGAAAUACCUGUGAAGAUGCAGGUUACCCGCGACUGGACAGAAAGACCCCAUGGAGCUUCACUGCAGCUUGAGAUUGAAUCCCGGUGACAGAUGCACAGGAUAGGUGGGAGGCGCCGAAGCAUUGCCCUAGGGCGGUGCGGAGCCGAUGUUGGGAUACCACCCUUCUGUUGCUGAGAUUCUAACGCGAGGAGUAACGACCCUGCGGACCCUCUCAGGCAGGCGGUUUGACUGGGGCGGUCGCCUCCGAAAGAGUAA